Ruditapes philippinarum (Manila clam) is the source of this 316-nucleotide long non-coding RNA. RefSeq lists it as uncharacterized. NCBI's taxonomy places the organism in Eukaryota, Metazoa, Mollusca, Bivalvia, Venerida, Veneridae. The record is from RefSeq and is a predicted model, not a curated record. The transcript has 2 exons.
AAUAUUUCUGAAUGUUUCCGCAUAUGUAAACAUCACGUUCAGAUUGUUGUUAGAGUUUCAGAAAACUGAAAGCAUUUCGAACAAUAAUGCAUUACGAAACAGUCUGAUUCUCCGACGGAUAAGGAUGAGAAGACAAGCUUGUAGCCUGGCGUUUAUUUUAGCCUUGUUAUGGGGUACUGUUUACAGCUGUGAAAACUGUUUACCAAAUCCAGACAAUACAACAGACACUUGUAACGUCACUUCCGGACACUGCUUACAUGGAUGCAUCAAAGGCUUUUUUGGUUUGAAUUGCUCAUACGAUUGCCCGAAAAACUGU